AGAAAAAAAGUACACGAACACCAUGGCCACUGGGCCAGUGGCAUCACUGUGUGUGGUUCUGAAGGAGCCUAGCGGCUUCUCGUGUGAAAGCUGAGCUCCGAUCCUCAUUCUUGUUCAGUGUAGUGGAGCGCGGGGAUUGGUUUAUAGGAUCCAGUCCCACUUGGGGAAAUGUCACUGCAGUCUGAGAGUAGAUGUAAAAUGGGGAUGAUUACUCGCUCACAGGCUUGCUGUAGAACAGAGUCCCCAUCCUCACAGAAUUCAGGAUGGCCACGCGCAAACCUAGAAUGAAAAGUCAGCCACACCCCACGUGGCCAAGAACUAGAAACUGCCCUUUGCAAGGAGCGGAGGCAACAGAACUGGGGGUCCCGGAGGGCGCAGAGGAAAGCUGUCCUUGCGGUUAAGAGUUUAAGGUGCUCACAUGGUAUCAGGUUGGUUUAGCAAAACUGGCAUCAGAAAGUAGUGGCAUAACACUCGGGCCCUGCAGUCACGUGGCAACACUGAGACCGUGGGACCCGUGGACGUGCGUUUUCCAACGACGUGGGAACCCCCAACCGCCACCCCCGCCUCUGGGUGCCGGUUACAGACGACCACGUGGCGGGGCUGAGGGCUCCGACCUGCGGUGGCGGGGUAGGGGACAGGACCUCCUCCAGAAAGUCUCCCCCAGCCCGGGCAGCAUCAGGCUGUGCGACCAGCGCCCGGUGAUGGCGUCACCCGGUGACGUCACCUAGAGGGGCCGCUCGCCCGCUCGGAGGCGAGGAGGUGCAGGCUGGGCGGCCACGCGCCUCCCUGCAGCCCCUGCAGCGCGGCGGGAGCUGAAGCUGCAGGUCCGACCUGCUGACGCGGGGCCUGGACAGUGCGGGGCCCCGGCGCUGGCGGCGAGCGCGGGGCCCUGAAUCCCGGGAGCCGCCCGGACCCAGGGGCCUUCCCAGCUAGACCGCUCCCCCCACCAAACCCGGGUCUGACCCUCAUCCUCCCCGCCAGACCCCAGGGGCCCAACCUCCCAAACGGUGACCUUUGAUUCUGUGCCUGCCCUCACCCUAAUAUUUCAGUCUCCGAGCCUGACACCUCCCUGAACCCCCUCACCUUUGAAUCUAAUCUUUUAACAGGAGCCAUUGCCAACCACAUCUGGCCCAGCACCACUCUCCACUCUCCAGUCCCCUUUCCCGCAGCCUUCCUCCAUGGAAGCUGCCUUUGCUUCCCGUGAACGCAAAUGAAAUAGGAUUAAUCAAAGAAUAUCUCCACCAAAGACCUUGAACUAAAGAAGAAAUAAAGUAACUAAUAUAUAUGAGAAACGUUCACUUCAAAGGUUGAUAGUUUGCUUUCUGAGUGUCGAUUGAAAGGAGCUCUACAAGCCAGUAAAAGGCGAUAUAUUUACCAAAGAAAAAAAAUAAGGCUGAAUUUUCUGCAACCAUUUCUCUUAAUUGCUGUUCCAUAUAUGCCACAGCAUAAAAAGAGAUUUUCAUUUACUCAAAGCGAAGUUUGACCAGAAAUAAUUAGCAAAUUGUUAGAAAAUAAUAACUAUAAGAAAAUUGAUAU
This is a long non-coding RNA of Myotis daubentonii (Daubenton's bat), 1536 nucleotides long. RefSeq lists it as uncharacterized. Lineage: Eukaryota; Metazoa; Chordata; Mammalia; Chiroptera; Vespertilionidae. The record is from RefSeq and is a predicted model, not a curated record.